Molecule: ribosomal RNA, 468 nt
Filed under: uncultured bacterium
Lineage: Bacteria
Description: partial 16S ribosomal RNA
Rfam family: Bacterial small subunit ribosomal RNA
Source: RNAcentral
GACGAACGCUGGCGGCGUGCUUAACACAUGCAAGUCGAACGGAAAGGCCCUGCUUUUGUGGGGUGCUCGAGUGGCGAACGGGUGAGUAACACGUGAGUAACCUGCCCUUGACUUUGGGAUAACUUCAGGAAACUGGGGCUAAUACCGGAUAGGAGCUCCUGCUGCAUGGUGGGGGUUGGAAAGUUUCGGCGGUUGGGGAUGGACUCGCGGCUUAUCAGCUUGUUGGUGGGGUAGUGGCUUACCAAGGCUUUGACGGGUAGCCGGCCUGAGAGGGUGACCGGGCACAAUGGGGCUGAGGAACGGGCCAGGAUGCUUCGGGGAGCAAGAGGGGGGAAUAUUGCACAAUGGGGCGAAGGCUGGAUGAAGAACCCCGGGGGGGGGAAGACGGCCUUCGGGUUGUAAACCGCUUUCGCCUGUGACGAAGCGUGAGUGACGGUAAUGGGUAAAGAAGCACCGGCUAACUACGUG